Molecule: non-coding RNA, 45 nt
Filed under: Schistosoma mansoni
Lineage: Eukaryota; Metazoa; Platyhelminthes; Trematoda; Strigeidida; Schistosomatidae
Source: RNAcentral
GUCCAGCUGACGAGCCUAAAACAGGACGAAACGCGCAUCCUGAAU